This 440-nucleotide ribosomal RNA is filed under the name uncultured bacterium. RNAcentral's name for it is "partial 16S ribosomal RNA". It matches the Rfam family "Bacterial small subunit ribosomal RNA", at positions 338 to 795 of the family's 1533-position model. The record is from RNAcentral.
CCUACGGGAGGCAGCAGUGGGGAAUAUUGCACAAUGGGGGAAACCCUGAUGCAGCGACGCCGCGUGAGUGAAGAAGUCUUUCGGUAUGUAAAGCUCUAUCAGCAGGGGAGAAAAAGACGGUACGUGAUUAAGAAGCCCCGGCUACCUAGGUGCAAGCAGCCGCGGUAAUACGGAGGGAGCCAGCGUUAUCCGGAUUUACUGGGUGUAAAGGGAGCGUAGACGGCUGCACAAGUCUGGAGUGAAAUGCCGGGGGUUACACCCGGAACUGCUUUGGAAACUGGGCAGCUAGAGUGCAGGAGAGGUAAGUGGAAUUCGUGGUGUAGCGGUGAAAUGCGUAGAUAUUACGAGGAACACCAGUGGCGAAGGCGGCUUACUGGACUGUAACUGACGUUGAGGCUCGAAAGCGUGGGGAGCGAACAGGAUUAGAUACCCGAGUAGUC